RNAcentral lists this ribosomal RNA (462 nucleotides) under uncultured bacterium. Its description in RNAcentral is "partial 16S ribosomal RNA". It matches the Rfam family "Bacterial small subunit ribosomal RNA", at positions 29 to 507 of the family's 1533-position model. The record is from RNAcentral.
AGUGAACGCUGGCGGCGUGCCUAAUACAUGCAAGUCGAACGGAGAUUAAGUAGCUUGCUAUUUAAUCUUAGUGGCGCACGGGUGAGUAAUAUAUAGCUAACUUGCCCAUUACUAAGGGACAACAGUUGGAAACGACUGCUAAUACCUUAUACUCCGUAUCUAUAUAAGUAGAUACGGGAAAGUUUUUCGGUAAUGGAUAGGGCUAUAUCGUAUCAGCUAGUUGGUAAGGUAAUGGCUUACCAAGGCUAUGACGCGUAACUGGUCUGAGAGGAUGAUCAGUCACACUGGAACUGAGACACGGUCCAGACUCCUACGGGAAGCAGCAGUAGGGAAUAUUGCUCAAUGGGGGAAACCCUGAAGCAGCAACGCCGCGUGGAGGAUGACACUUUUCGGAGCGUAAACUCCUUUUCUUGGGAAAGAAUUAUGACGGUACCCAAGGAAUAAGCACCGGCUAACUCCGUG